GUGUACUCGUCACUGCUCCGAUUCCUCUGGAGCGCGGAUUUUAAAUUUCCACGACGGUUGAACCGUCUCUUCAUCGAGCAAGGAAGGAUAUAAGCUGCUCGUCAGGCCAACAGUGAGCAUGUCACAUUAUCGAUCAAAAGCUUGGGGCUAUUUUCUUACUCAUAGCUUUCAGUCAGGCGACUGGAGGGCAAAACACCCACAGAACUGCAGGACAGGCCUGACAAUUUUCCAUCUCUUUCAAACAACAAAUAUUACAUCGCGUCUCAAAAAAGGGUAAACAAAAUAUGUGAGUAAAAUGCACGUCCAUAUACAGCACCUGCUGCAGUAUUUCAACCACUAAACAAUAGAGCUCACUUUAAGUACCUUAAAAGUAAUAAAACAGUAAGAUUAAAAGAUAAAAUUCUUUAUACAGCUUAUUUAUGAUGUAUACUAUAUACAGACGAGCAGAUGAGCCCAGAAUAUGAACGCCACACGCUGACUGGGCAAGCAGAUGAGCCUAGAACAUAAAUGCAAUGCCUAACAAAAAACUGUAUGUUGCAUUUAUGUUCUAGACUCAUCUGCUUGCCCCCCUGUAUAUAUAGUAUGCAUCAUCAAUAAGGUGUAUAUUGAAUUUGGCCUCGUUUUACCCUCCAGGUGGGUGUUAUAUAAAAACUAGCAAUGAAGGUAAGCUUACACUAUUUUAAGUAUUUUCUUGUGAACAAUCGAAUGGGUCUAUUAAUGAAUCUGUUAAAUUUAAUACAAUUAAAGAUUAAGUAACAAUAAAAAAGUAAGUAACACUUUCAGAAUGUUUACAUUUGUGGAAUUCACCUCAGAUCAGUGUAGCUGUAGUUCCUGAUGCAUGGAUGCAGCAGAUAACGUAAGUACUGUGUGAAAGUGAUGUUAGAUACAAAAAUCUCUCUCUUUUUUUUUUAGGCAAUAUCAACACCAUACAACAGGCCCUGCUUUCCUCACCAAGAACAAGAAUUUAUCUAAAAAGAUUUUUAUUUUAUUUUUUAUUUUUUACUGUGAACUAUAACUUUGUUGUCAUUUGUCUAUAACAGCAGAUAGUAGUAUUAUUAACAAUAUGAUUCUGAAUACUAUUUUCAGCACCCGAGCCAUCACGGACAUGGAAAGGACUUGACAACUUGCCAAGAACUGGAUUUUUUGAGAUGCUAGGGAGGACUAUGGAGCAACUAUACAUACAUUCAGUGAUGCCACAGCAACAUUUAAGUAAUUUCUCCUUUAAGAUUUCUGCAACACACCAAACAUGGAUGACAAGAGUGAAGGACAAGGUUAUGGCUCAUCAAUUUGAAGGUAAGAUAAAUUGAGCCUUUUACGAAAAAUAAUCAGAAUUUUACCAUUUUGAGAUCACGCGCACAGGACCUUUUGAGAAGACUAAUUUCUCCUGUCUUCUCACUAGUCACUCUGGUCAGUCCCGGUCUGUCAUGUCAAGCUCCGAUCUGCUCUGUUCUCUGCCCAGUUUACCUGUGCCUGCAGUUCAACUCUCUCUGGUCCCAGAUGUCUACAGGUUUCGGACUCAUGCUUCAAGGUUUCUGCGCUUGCAUCUCUCCUGGAUUUGUUGAUCUUUCCUGGACUCAUUCUGGUUACCAGUCUUUUCACCUGUCCUUCGACUAUGCUCACUUGUCAGCCAUGUACAGAGCCCACUUUUGUUCAAUAAAUGUUCUGAACUGCAUUUGCUGUUUGUUUGUUUUUAAUUUAUUAAACUAUAUAUAUAUGCUGUCACAUAUAUUACAUGCUUUUAUAAAUGCAUACCUUUUGAAGGAUAAUUAGAAUAUCGUAUGCAGUUUUAAUAAAGUUGAAUUAUGUAACCUUGUAUGUCAUUUUUAUGCUUCAAAGUGUACAUUUGCAGGUGUUGGUUAUAAUUAAUUUAGUGCCCAUAAAUAAUAAGUAUAAACAAUAUAUAUAAAAAAGUAUUAUAUAGUGAUCUAAUAUCGAGUGAUUAAAAAUUAACCACGAAAUAAAAUUAACGCGCAGAAUGGGAAAUAUUUAUAAUCUAAAUAAGUUGUCAGAACGUCGUGUCGCAGUUGCCCAAUGUUGCGUAAUAAAGUUGCUACAGCCCUGUGGCGUCUU
This is a long non-coding RNA of Ctenopharyngodon idella (grass carp), 2070 nucleotides long. RefSeq lists it as uncharacterized. NCBI's taxonomy places the organism in Eukaryota, Metazoa, Chordata, Actinopteri, Cypriniformes, Xenocyprididae. The record is from RefSeq and is a predicted model, not a curated record. The transcript is spliced from 5 exons.